UCUCCAUUUCCCACGCUCUCUCGCCGGUCAGAUACGGCGAGAUAGUGUGGGAAAUGAAGAGA
Non-coding RNA from Pristionchus pacificus, 62 nucleotides. The record is from Rfam. Lineage: Eukaryota; Metazoa; Nematoda; Chromadorea; Rhabditida; Neodiplogasteridae.